GCAUGGUUGCGUGUGCACUGCCCAGAUGCAGAGUGUGGACUUUGCUCAGAAGCACAGCAUCUGUGAAGCUUUCGGAAAUUAUCCCUCUGGCUCCAGCCCUUUCUAGAGAUCUCCACGCACAUCUCUGCAUGAAGGUUUCAGAGUCACUGGAUUUCCCAGGGCCUUCUCUUUGCUAGGAAUGUCUGAGACGCGCUCUGCAAGAUGAGUUGGCAGCAUCUCUGUGCCUCUGGUUUUGCCAGGCUCCACCAACAUCCCGCUAAGAACUCUUCACCCUCAAGUGCACUGAGGGGAACCCCAGUGAAGGCCAAUGAGGGAAACCACACAUCACUGAGGGCCGACGGAGGCCCCCAAAGCUCAGAUCGCUGUGCUCGCCAGUAGGUAAGCAUCCCCUGUGAAGAAAGCCUACCUUCUCUCUCCCUCCCCAGAUCCCCAUAUCCAGACAGAGUGAGGAAAUGCAUAAAAACAAAACACAAAACACACUCCUUCCCCAGGUCCCCAGACACCCUUAACACAGCUAUCUGCAGGAUUGAAUGAUUGCUGGGACCACACAAUUUACACUUGGCUCUCGUGGUCCGGAGGGGAGGACUGCGCCAGCAUGAGAAGACCAGAGAGCAAGUAAAUGGAAAUUUGGCGAGAUCCUGUGGCUGCUGUUGGUGGCUGCAGCCAGACAGGAAAACUGAGAUGGUGUGAGCAGAAAGGGCUGGAAGGAGUUGGCUUUUUCCAAGAAAUUACAGCGGAAUCUUCUUCCAAGAGGCUGGGGGCCUCUGCAGACAUGAUCUCAUUACUUACCCCCCAAAUCCCCCAGCUUCCCUACGGACCAAGGACCAGGGGUCUCUGCCCAGUCCUAGCUCCAAGGAAACUCACACUUGGCAGAUUUUCCUAAUCGGAGCUGGCCUUGAAGUUUGCUCACUGAUAAUCACCAGAAAGUCACCCCAACAAUGGGUGAUGCCAGAGUGUCCUCAAGCUUCAAGGGUCCGUAAAAACACUUGACUCCCCCAGGACAAAAAUGACUGGGGGAAACAUGCAGUUCUUCAAAGAGAACGGUUUCAUUCUGUACCAAA
Molecule: long non-coding RNA, 1061 nt
Organism: Homo sapiens (human)
Lineage: Eukaryota; Metazoa; Chordata; Mammalia; Primates; Hominidae
Product: long independently transcribed non-coding RNA 2677
Exons: 2
Source: RefSeq, marked validated